This 635-nucleotide ribosomal RNA is filed under the name Citrobacter freundii. RNAcentral describes it as "bacterial SSU rRNA". It matches the Rfam family "Bacterial small subunit ribosomal RNA", at positions 45 to 671 of the family's 1533-position model. Lineage: Bacteria; Pseudomonadati; Pseudomonadota; Gammaproteobacteria; Enterobacterales; Enterobacteriaceae. The record is from RNAcentral. RNAcentral also lists the same sequence under 1 other name.
GGCCUAACACAUGCAAGUCGAACGGUAGCACAGAGGAGCUUGCUCCUUGGGUGACGAGUGGCGGACGGGUGAGUAAUGUCUGGGAAACUGCCCGAUGGAGGGGGAUAACUACUGGAAACGGUAGCUAAUACCGCAUAACGUCGCAAGACCAAAGAGGGGGACCUUCGGGCCUCUUGCCAUCGGAUGUGCCCAGAUGGGAUUAGCUAGUAGGUGGGGUAACGGCUCACCUAGGCGACGAUCCCUAGCUGGUCUGAGAGGAUGACCAGCCACACUGGAACUGAGACACGGUCCAGACUCCUACGGGAGGCAGCAGUGGGGAAUAUUGCACAAUGGGCGCAAGCCUGAUGCAGCCAUGCCGCGUGUAUGAAGAAGGCCUUCGGGUUGUAAAGUACUUUCAGCGAGGAGGAAGGUGUUGUGGUUAAUAACCGCAGCAAUUGACGUUACUCGCAGAAGAAGCACCGGCUAACUCCGUGCCAGCAGCCGCGGUAAUACGGAGGGUGCAAGCGUUAAUCGGAAUUACUGGGCGUAAAGCGCACGCACGCAGUCUGUCAAGUCGGAUGUGAAAUCCCCGGGUCUACCUGGGAACUGCAUCCGAAAUUGCAGGCUAGAGUCUUGUACACGGGGGUAGAAUUCCA